UAAUUGAAGAGUUUGAUCAUGGCUCAGAUUGAACGCUGGCGGCAGGCCUAACACAUGCAAGUCGAGCGGCAGCACAGAGGAACUUGUUCCUUGGGUGGCGAGCGGCGGACGGGUGAGUAAUGCCUGGGAAAUUGCCCGGUAGAGGGGGAUAACCAUUGGAAACGAUGGCUAAUACCGCAUAACCUCGCAAGAGCAAAGCAGGGGACCUUCAGGCCUUGCGCUACCGGAUAUGCCCAGGUGGGAUUAGCUAGUUGGUGAGGUAAGGGCUCACCAAGGCGACGAUCCCUAGCUGGUCUGAGAGGAUGAUCAGCCACACUGGAACUGAGACACGGUCCAGACUCCUACGGGAGGCAGCAGUGGGGAAUAUUGCACAAUGGGCGCAAGCCUGAUGCAGCCAUGCCGCGUGUAUGAAGAAGGCCUUCGGGU
Molecule: ribosomal RNA, 426 nt
Filed under: Vibrio cholerae
Lineage: Bacteria; Pseudomonadati; Pseudomonadota; Gammaproteobacteria; Vibrionales; Vibrionaceae
Description: bacterial SSU rRNA
Rfam family: Bacterial small subunit ribosomal RNA
Source: RNAcentral